CGAUUCUGGCUCAGGAUGAACGCUAGCGGCAGGCUUAACACAUGCAAGUCGAGGGGCAGCGCGAGUAGCAAUACUUGGCGGCGACCGGCGCAAGGGUGCGUAACGCGUGAGCAACAUGCCCGUAUCAGGGGGAUAAUCCAGGGAAACUUGGUCUAAUACCCCAUAGUAAUUUUGUAAGGCAUCUUAUAAGAUUUAAAGCUUUGGUGGAUACGGAUUGGCUCGCGUGACAUUAGCUGGAUGGUAAGGUAACGGCUUACCAUGGCUAUGAUGUCUAGGGGUUCUGAGAGGAAGGUCCCCCACACUGGAACUGAGACACGGUCCAGACUCCUACGGGAGGCAGCAGUGAGGAAUAUUGGACAAUGGAUGGAAAUCUGAUCCAGCCAUGCCGCGUGAAAGGAAGAAGGUCCUAUGGAUUGUAAACUUCUUUUGUAUGGGAGCAAUAAGGCCUACGAGUAGGUUGAUGAGAGUACCAUACGAAUAAGCACCGGCUAACUCCGUGCCAGCCGCAGC
RNAcentral lists this ribosomal RNA (510 nucleotides) under uncultured bacterium. RNAcentral's name for it is "bacterial SSU rRNA". It matches the Rfam family "Bacterial small subunit ribosomal RNA", at positions 14 to 518 of the family's 1533-position model. The record is from RNAcentral.